AUGCAAGCCUUGCACAUGCACCCCAUGCAUGCAACCCCUGCACAUGCAGCCCCCAUGCAGCCCCCCACACACACACAACCCCCGUGCGUGCACACGAGCGUGCCAGGCAGCACCAGCCCCACACCCGUGCCACACACGUGCACGCCCAGGGCUGCGCACACCGCACGCCCCACGCAGGCCACCUCCUGCCGCCUCCGUCCCCACUCCGAUGUCCCCAUCCCGAUGGGGGGACGGGGCCCCAGGCCCCCUCUCCGCUGUGCUGCAGCCGCUGCCCCGGUGCCGGGUGGGCCGCAGGGCCGGGCGUUGCGCGUCGGCCGGCUACCAUCCCCGGCGGCCGGGUGCCAAAUUCCUCCGCCCACACAGGAAGCCGUCGGCGCGCUCUCGGCGCUCUGCACCGGGGCCAGGCCGGCCAGAGGGAUGCGAGCGAGCGAGGAAGGGCUGGAGGAGAGAAACCAGGUCAGCCCCGAGCCGCCAGCGUCACCCUGGCACGCAGCAGCCGGCUCCUUCGAGGAAGCAGGGCGAGGAUCCGGCCCCGGUGACGUCCCCUCCGGCGCGCACGGCAUGCGCCUGGCCGGCGCUCGCUCGCUCGAGGAACCGCCUCGGCCCCGCUGUGGGGACCAUGUUUGUCCUCGUCAUCGUCAUCGUCAUCUCCAUCAUCUUCCUCAUCAUGAUCUUCCACAUCUGCCGCAAGCUCUGCCGCGACGAGCCCCUGCGCCCCCCGCCCUACAUGGACCCCCAGUCCCCCGCCUCCCCACAGCUUGGCCCCAUGCCCGCGCUGCCCAGCCUGCCCGGGGGGGGCAUCCCGGUGGGCCUGGAGCCCCCGCCCUACAGCGAGGUAACGGCGAAGCCCUUCCUCUACCCACUGCCGCAGGGGCCGUGCCCCGAGUGCGGCCACAACCCCGAGCCUCAGCGCGCCCCCCCCCCCCAGACCAACUUCUAGGGGGGGGGGGACACCCCCAGCACCCCCACAGUGACCGGCGGCUCCAGGGACAGCUUGGGGACACCCCCUGGGGCCAGCAGCGGCCCUGGAUGGAGAGGGGCUCCUUGCACCCCUCACCGGGGGGGCACCCCGAUGCUUGCGCCUGUGCCCCCCCCCCAGGUGCCUGCGGCCACGCUCCCCAAAGCUGUGCUGCUGGUGCACAGCGGCGGGGCUCUCUAUUUAUUGUUGGAAAAGAACCCAAAGCCCUCCCUGCUCUGCUGUUUUGGGGGAGGGUCUGGAGAGGGGGCCUUUGGGGUGGGCAGCUCUGAAGCCCCCAUAGGGCCAGAGGGACUUGUGGGGCUGGGAGGCACAGGAGUGUGCGUCAGAUGGGGCUCUGCCAGCCUGUCCCCAUCCCAUCCCAUUGUGCCCAUCCCAUCCCCAUCCCAUCCCCAUCCCC
RNAcentral lists this long non-coding RNA (1376 nucleotides) under Cairina moschata (Muscovy duck). RNAcentral's name for it is "domestica (muscovy Duck (domestic type)) lncRNA (ENSCMMG00000011937.1)". Lineage: Eukaryota; Metazoa; Chordata; Aves; Anseriformes; Anatidae. The record is from RNAcentral.